RNAcentral lists this ribosomal RNA (442 nucleotides) under uncultured bacterium. RNAcentral describes it as "partial 16S ribosomal RNA". It matches the Rfam family "Bacterial small subunit ribosomal RNA", at positions 338 to 795 of the family's 1533-position model. The record is from RNAcentral.
CCUACGGGUGGCAGCAGUGAGGAAUAUUGGUCAAUGGGCGGAAGCCUGAACCAGCCAAGUAGCGUGAAGGAAGAAGGCUUUCGGGUUGUAAACUUCUUUUGACAGGGAAGAGCAGAAGACGGUACCUGACUAAGAAGCACCGGCUAAAUACGUGCCAGCAGCCGCGGUAAUACGUAUGGUGCAAGCGUUAUCCGGAUUUACUGGGUGUAAAGGGAGCGCAGGCGGCGCGUUAAGCCUGGUGUGAAAGCCCGCGGCCCAACCGCGGGACUGCAUUGGGAACUGGCGCGCUGGAGUGCCGGAGGGGUAGGCGGAAUUCCUGGUGUAGCGGUGAAAUGCGUAGAUAUUAGGAGGAACACCAGUGGCGAAGGCGGCCUACUGGACGGUGACUGACGCUGAGGCUCGAAAGCGUGGGGAGCAAACAGGAUUAGAUACCCGUGUAGUC